AUCCAACUGACGAGUCCCAGAUAGAACGAAACAAGCGUUCUGGAU
RNAcentral lists this non-coding RNA (45 nucleotides) under Schistosoma margrebowiei. Lineage: Eukaryota; Metazoa; Platyhelminthes; Trematoda; Strigeidida; Schistosomatidae. The record is from RNAcentral.